AGAGUUUGAUCCUGGCUCAGGACGAACGCUGGCGGCGUGCUUAAUACAUGCAAGUCAAGGAGAAUGAGCUUCUUCGGGAGCUUUAGUAAACUGGCGAACGGGUGAGUAACACGUAGGUAACCUGCCCUUAGAUCGGGGAUAACCUUGCCAAAGCGGGGCUAAUACCUGAUGAUGUCUCUGUUUCGCAUGUGAUAGAGAUGAAAGUUGUCUUUCGGGAUAACGUCUAUGGAUGGACCUGCGUCCCAUUAGCUAGUUGGUGAGGUAAGAGCUCACCAAGGCAACGAUGGGUAGCCGGCCUGAGAGGGUGACCGGCCACACUGGGACUGAGAUACGGCCCAGACUCCUACGGGAGGCAGCAGUAAGGAAUAUUGCGCAAUGGCCGCAAGGCUGACGCAGCAACGCCGCGUGGGUGAUGAAGUUCUAAGGAACGUAAAGCCCUGUUAGGAGGGAAGAAUAGUACUGAUGUGAAUAAUAUCAGUAUUUGACGGUACCUCCAAAGAAAGCCCCGGCUAACUCCGUGCCAGCAGCCGCGGUAAUACGGGGGGGGCGAGCGUUGUCCGGAAUUAUUGGGCGUAAAGGGCGCGUAGGUGGAAUGAUAAGUCAAGGGUGAAAACCAUGGGCUCAACUCAUGGCCUGCCUUUGAAACUGUUAUUCUUGAGUACGGAAGAGGGAAGUGGAAUUCCUGGUGUAGCGGUGAAAUGCGUAGAUAUCAGGAAGAACACCGGUAGCGAAGGCGGCUUCCUGGUCCGUAACUGACACUGAGGCGCGAAAGCGUGGGGAGCAAACAGGAUUAGAUACCCUGGUAGUCCACGCUGUAAACGAUGGGCACUAGGUGUUGAAUCACGUUAAGUGAAUCAGUGCCGAAGCUAACGCAUUAAGUGCCCCGCCUGGGGAGUCACGAUCGCAAGGUUGAAACUCAAAGGAAUUGACGGGGGCCCGGCACAAAGCGUGUGGAGGCAUAUGGUUUCAUUCCGAUGCACGGCGAAAGGAACCUUUACCUUGGGGCUUGAACUUGGAAUUGGAAUCCUCUGAAAGGAGGGUUUCUCUUCGGGGACAAUUCAAGAGGUGCUGCAUGGCUGUCGUCAGCUCGUGCCGUGAGGUGUUGGGUUAAGUCCCGCAACGAGCGCAACCCUUGCCCUUAGUUGCCAUCAGGUUAUGCUGGGCACUCUAAGGGGACUGCCCCGGAUAACGGGGAGGAAGGUGGGGAUGACGUCAAGUCCUCAUGGCCCUUACGUCCAGGGCUACACACGUGCUACAAUGGCCAGUACAGCGGGAAGCAAAAUCGCGAGGUGGAGCAAAUCCCUCAAAACUGGUCUCAGUUCGGAUUGCAGUCUGCAACUCGGCUGCAUGAAGUUGGAAUCGCUAGUAAUCGCGGAUCAGCAUGCCGCGGUGAAUACGUUCCCGGGCCUUGUACACACCGCCCGUCACGCCAUGGAAGUCGGUAGCACCCGAAGCCGAUGGCCUAAUCCACUUUGGUGGAAGGGAGUCGUCUAAGGUGAGACUGAUGACUGGGGCGAAGUCGUAACAAGGUAACC
Molecule: ribosomal RNA, 1535 nt
Filed under: uncultured bacterium
Lineage: Bacteria
Description: bacterial SSU rRNA
Rfam family: Bacterial small subunit ribosomal RNA
Source: RNAcentral